This 1154-nucleotide long non-coding RNA is filed under the name Rhinopithecus roxellana (golden snub-nosed monkey). Its description in RNAcentral is "lncRNA (ENSRROG00000045869.1)". The record is from RNAcentral. Lineage: Eukaryota; Metazoa; Chordata; Mammalia; Primates; Cercopithecidae.
UAGAUUACCACAGGCCUUAAUACAACAACAGCUUCUGUCCUCCAAUUUUCCAUUGGAUCAGGUUCAUGUCGCUUUAGUUAUUCAGACCCCAGCAUCAUCGUGUUAUAUGCCAAGAAUAACUCUGCGGACUGGAUUCAGCUAGAGAAAAUUAGAGCCCCUUCCAAUGUCAGCACAAUCAUCCAUAUCCUCUACCUUCCUGAGGAUGCCAAAGGGGAGAAUGUCCAGUUUCAGUGGAAGCAGGAAAAUCUUCAUGUAGGUGAAGUGUAUGAAGCCUGCUGGGCCUUAGAUAACAUCCUGAUCAUCAAUUCAGCUCACAGACAAGUCAUUUUAGAAGAUAGUCUCGACCCAGUGGACACAGGCAACUGGCUUUUCUUCCCAGGAGCUACAGUUAAGCAUAGCUGUCAGUCAGAUGGGAACUCCAUUUAUUUCCAUGGAAAUGAAGGCAGUGAGUUCAAUUUUGCCACCACCCGGGAUGUAGAUCUUUCCACAGAAGAUAUUCAAGAGCAAUGGUCAGAAGAAUUUGAGAGCCAGCCUACAGGAUGGGAUGUCUUGGGAGCUGUCAUUGGUACGGAAUGUGGAACAAUAGAAUCAGGCUUAUCAAUGGUCUUCCUCAAAGAUGGAGAGAGGAAAUUAUGCACCCCAUAUAUGGACACUACUGGUUACGGGAACCUGAGGUUUUACUUUGUGAUGGAAAUGUGAGUAGAUGUCACAUGCCUUCUUUGUUGAGUGACUGGAAAAGCACAGGCAACAUCUGGAAGUGAAACAGGAAAUAAACACUGUCUACCUUUGAACUUACUAGCGAAGAUGUCAGUUCAUCAGGACAAACAGAUCUCCUGAGUCUCACUUCAGCAGUGGCGAUUUAUUUCUUUCGUAUUCCUCACUUCACCUUUUUGAUAGUCAUACAGCUCAGGGUUGCAUGGGAAACCUCAGAUUGUAUCCUGUUCUCAAGUAUAUUACCUAUGUGAUGCUAACUCAUUUUCCAUAAUGAUCUGUUUGAUAACAGAGAAAUUGUGCAUAUAAAAUAAAGUAAUGUAAUCUCACAUUUAAGGAUAACCUCGCCUUCACUCUGAACUGGUUUGUAUAUUUAAAGGCCCAGAGCUCAUUUUCUUUACAUAAUUAGAAUUCAAACUGGCUCUCAUUUUAUCAAAAGGGAU